CGAUGAGACUUCCUCUUUGAAGAUCACAGGUGAGAAGAUUAGAUGCUUUCUCGGAAGCCCAGCAACCUGAUGGGAUUGUGGAGUGAGCCAGACCCAAAUCAGAACUUCAUCCCUGCAUGGUUUAUUUUGCUUGUUUGGCAAACUUGCCCCGCAGGCGCCCAAUGGCAUUACACCUCAGCCAGAGAAGAAGCUCUUAAGGGAUCAGGUGCCUCAUUUCACCCAUGGGCUGCUCCAGCAUUUCCAGCCUCCUCACUCCUGACACACACAAGCACGUGCUCUCUGUGGAGUCUUUGCACUUCUGCUUUCCCUCCUGAAAUGCUCUUCCUCUCAGUGUCUUCAUCCUACCUCCCUCAGCUCUUUCAUCUCGUUUAA
RNAcentral lists this long non-coding RNA (372 nucleotides) under Macaca fascicularis (crab-eating macaque). RNAcentral's name for it is "lncRNA (ENSMFAG00000051269.1)". Lineage: Eukaryota; Metazoa; Chordata; Mammalia; Primates; Cercopithecidae. The record is from RNAcentral.